Molecule: ribosomal RNA, 253 nt
Filed under: uncultured bacterium
Lineage: Bacteria
Description: partial 16S ribosomal RNA
Rfam family: Bacterial small subunit ribosomal RNA
Source: RNAcentral
UACGAAGGGGGCUAGCGUUGCUCGGAAUCACUGGGCGUAAAGGGUGCGUAGGCGGGUCUUUAAGUCAGGGGUGAAAUCCUGGAGCUCAACGUCCAGAACUGCCUUUGAUACUGAGGAUCUUGAGUUCGGGAGAGGUGAGUGGAACUGCGAGUGUAGAGGUGAAAUUCGUAGAUAUUAGCUAGAACACCAGUGCGAAGGCGGCCAACUGGUCCGACACUGACGCUGAGGUGCGAAAGCGUGGGGAGCAACAGGG